RNAcentral lists this ribosomal RNA (484 nucleotides) under uncultured bacterium. Its description in RNAcentral is "partial 16S ribosomal RNA". It matches the Rfam family "Bacterial small subunit ribosomal RNA", at positions 30 to 507 of the family's 1533-position model. The record is from RNAcentral.
AUUGAACGCUGGCGGCAGGCCUAACACAUGCAAGUCGAGCGGAUGAAGGGAGCUUGCUCCUGGAUUCAGCGGCGGACGGGUGAGUAAUGCCUAGGAAUCUGCCUGGUAGUGGGGGAUAACGUCCGGAAACGGGCGCUAAUACCGCAUACGUCCUGAGGGAGAAAGUGGGGGAUCUUCGGACCUCACGCUAUCAGAUGAGCCUAGGUCGGAUUAGCUAGUUGGUGGGGUAAAGGCCUACCAAGGCGACGAUCCGUAACUGGUCUGAGAGGAUGAUCAGUCACACUGGACCUGAUACACGGUCCAGACUCCUACGGGAGGCAGCAGUGGGGAAUAUUGGACAAUGGGCGAAAGCCUGAUCCAGCCAUGCCGCGUGUGUGAAGAAGGUCUUCGGAUUGUAAAGCACUUUAAGUUGGGAGGAAGGGCAGUAAGUUAAUACCUUGCUGUUUUGACGUUACCAACAGAAUAAGCACCGGCUAACUUCGUG